ACGAACCGUCCAAACGUUAUUCGGAAUUAUUGGGCUUAAAGGGUGCGUAGGCGGCGCGGUAAGUGAGGUGUGAAAUCCCUCGGCUCAACCGAGGAAUUGCGCUUCAUACUGCCGUGCUUGAGGGAGACAGGGGUAAGCGGAACUGAUGGUGGAGCGGUGAAAUGCGUUGAUAUCAUCAGGAACACCAGUGGCGAAGGCGGCUUACUGGGUCUCUUCUGACGCUGAGGCACGAAAGCUAGGGUAGCGAACGGG
Molecule: ribosomal RNA, 252 nt
Filed under: uncultured bacterium
Lineage: Bacteria
Description: partial 16S ribosomal RNA
Rfam family: Bacterial small subunit ribosomal RNA
Source: RNAcentral